Molecule: long non-coding RNA, 555 nt
Filed under: Salvia miltiorrhiza (redroot sage)
Lineage: Eukaryota; Viridiplantae; Streptophyta; Magnoliopsida; Lamiales; Lamiaceae
Description: long non-coding RNA (SMIL_LNC001391)
Source: RNAcentral
AGGAGAAAAGCUAGGGCUCGAUCUGGAAGGGGAAGAAUUAAGGCUCAAUUUUGAGCAGCCUCCCCUAAAUUUGAGAGACAGCAGCAGCGACUCUGUGCGCGGCGGUGGCGGCGUUUUCAGGCGGAGCAACGUCGGCCUUGGGGCGACAACGUCGCCUGAGAUUUCGGAACCACGGCGGCGACGAUUUCAGAUUUAAGAAGAAGAGUUAGGGCAGGGAAGAGGCGGCGCCGGAUCGAUUGAGGCAAAGGGAGAAGGGGCGGCGCCGACGAAUCGCCUAGCGCCGCAGAGAGAAGAGGCGCAAAGGAGGUUUACGGGAACAGCGGCGGAGGCAGCGUGUCUCUCCAGGGAAUAGCGGCGGAGGAGGUUUACAGCGGCAGGCAUUGGAGGUGCAAUUUUGUAGAAAAGUUAGGGUUUGAAUUAAGUUAGGGUUUGAAUUAAUUUUGUAGAAUAAUUUUGUAUGUUGAUGGUAAAAUCUGAUAUGUAAUUAAAAUUUCUUUUUUUAUUAAAUCUGGUAUGGUAAUAGACAACGGAUUUGAAAAUCGUUGUCUAUUCUCU